UCUAAAACUACUAGGAGAAAAUAUGGAGAAAUAAGAAACUGGUUCAAGCAACAAUUUUCUGGAAAGAACCACAAAAGCACAAGAAACAAAAGCAAAAAUUGACAAAGUUGAUAUAUUAAAUUGAAAAACCUUCUGCACAGCUAAAGAAACAGUCAACAGAAUGAGACGAGCCCUGGAAUGGGAAAAAGACUUGCCAGCUAUGCGUCUCACAAAGGGUUAAUACCUAGAAUGUAUAAUGACCUCAAAAAAACUAAAAACAAGUAAUCCAAUUAAACAUUGGACAAAUGAUUUGUGAACAGACAUAUCUCAAAGAAGUACAAACAGUCAAAAAUACAUGAAAAAAAAAACCCACUCAAUAUCAUUAGCCAUCAGGGAAAUCAAGAUGAAAACUACAAUGAGAUACCAUAUCACUCCAGUUAGAAGGUCUAUUAUUAACAAUAAACCCUAAAAUUAAUAAAUGUUUGUGACGAUGUGAGAGAAAAAGAACACUUACACUCUCUUGGUGGGAAUUUAAAUUGGUAGGAUCAUUAUAGAGAGCAGAAGUUUUCUCUAAAAACUUAAAUUAGAUAUGCUCUAUGACCCAGCUAUCCUCCUUCUGGGUACAUAUCCACAGGAAAAGAAAUCAGCAUACCAAAGGGAUAUCUGCAUGCCCAUGCAGUGUUAUUCACAGUAGCUAAUAUAUUGAAUGAGAACAUAUAGUUAUCAAUAGAUGAGGAGAUAAAGACAAUGUAGUAUAUUUACACAAGGGAAUAUUAUUCUGCUACAAAGAAGAAUUGGCUCUUGACAUUUACAGCAAAAUGGAUAGAACUGGAGGACAUUAUGUUAAGCAAAAUAGGCCAGACACAGAAAGAUAAGACCCAUAUAUUCUCUCUCAUAUCUGGAAUAUUAAAAAGGGUGACCUGAAUGUAGAAUAGUGACCAAUAGAGGUUGAGAAGGGAUAUAGGGUGGGUAAAUAGAGGUUGGAUAUGAUCAUGCUGAGUGUAUGCAUAUAUACAAAUAUCACACUGACUCCCAUUAAUAAGGGCAACUAUUACAUGCUAAUAAAAAAUUUAAAUAUAUAUAUA
This 1064-nucleotide long non-coding RNA is filed under the name Marmota monax (woodchuck). Lineage: Eukaryota; Metazoa; Chordata; Mammalia; Rodentia; Sciuridae. The record is from RNAcentral.